AAUAGAUACCCUGGUAGUCCACGCCGUAAACGAUGGAUGCUAGCUAUUGGGGGGAAUCGACCCCUCCGAAGCGAAGCUAACGCGUUAAGCAUCCCGCCUGAGUAGUACGAGCGCAAGCUUAAAACUCAAAGGAAUUGACGGGGACCCGCACAAGCGGUGGAGCGUGUGGUUUAAUUCGAUGGUAAACGAAGAACCUUACCAAGGUUUGACAUCCCGGUAGCCGUUCUCCGAAAGGAGAAUUUCAUUUAGUUGGACCGGUGACAGGUGAUGCAUGGCCGUCGUCAGCUCGUGUCGUGAGAUGUUGGGUUAAGUCCCGCAACGAGCGCAACCCUUAUGAUUUAGUUGGAUUUUUCUAAACAGACUGCCCUGGUAACAGGGAGGAAGGAGGGGAUGAUGUCAGGUCAGUAUUUCUCUUACACCUUGGGCGACACACGCGCUACAAUGGCCGGUACAAUGGGCAGCUAAGCCGCGAGGUGGAGCAAAUCCCAUUAAAGCCGGUCCCAGUUCGGAUUGCAGGCUGAAACCCGCCUGCAUGAAGCCGGAAUCGCUAGUAA
RNAcentral lists this ribosomal RNA (554 nucleotides) under uncultured bacterium. RNAcentral's name for it is "bacterial SSU rRNA". It matches the Rfam family "Bacterial small subunit ribosomal RNA", at positions 777 to 1341 of the family's 1533-position model. The record is from RNAcentral.